GCCUGGGUAGCUCAGUCGGUAGAGCAUGAGACUCUUGGUCGUGGUUUCGAGCCCCACUUUGGGCG
This 65-nucleotide transfer RNA is filed under the name Danionella translucida. It matches the Rfam family "tRNA". From Rfam's summary of the family: Transfer RNA (tRNA) molecules are approximately 80 nucleotides in length. Their secondary structure includes four short double-helical elements and three loops (D, anti-codon, and T loops). Further hydrogen bonds mediate the characteristic L-shaped molecular structure. tRNAs have two regions of fundamental functional importance: the anti-codon, which is responsible for specific mRNA codon recognition, and the 3' end, to which the tRNAs corresponding amino acid is attached (by aminoacyl-tRNA synthetases). tRNAs cope with the degeneracy of the genetic code in two manners: having more than one tRNA (with a specific anti-codon) for a particular amino acid; and 'wobble' base-pairing, i.e. permitting non-standard base-pairing at the 3rd anti-codon position. RNAcentral also lists the same sequence under 1 other name. Lineage: Eukaryota; Metazoa; Chordata; Actinopteri; Cypriniformes; Danionidae. The record is from Rfam by way of RNAcentral.